This 465-nucleotide ribosomal RNA is filed under the name uncultured bacterium. RNAcentral's name for it is "partial 16S ribosomal RNA". It matches the Rfam family "Bacterial small subunit ribosomal RNA", at positions 28 to 507 of the family's 1533-position model. The record is from RNAcentral.
GACGAACGCUGGCGGCGUGCUUAACACAUGCAAGUCGUACGGUAAGGCCCUUUCGGGGGUACACGAGUGGCGAACGGGUGAGUAACACGUGAGUAACCUGCCCACAACUUUGGGAUAACGCUAGGAAACUGGUGCUAAUACUGGAUAUGUGCUCCUGCUGCAUGGUGGGGGUUGGAAAGCUCCGGCGGUUGUGGAUGGACUCGCGGCCUAUCAGCUUGUUGGUGGGGUAGUGGCCUACCAAGGCGGCGACGGGUAGCCGGCCUGAGAGGGUGACCGGCCACAUUGGGACUGAGAUACGGCCCAGACUCCCACGGGAGGCAGCAGUGGGGAAUAUUGCACAAUGGGCGCAAGCCUGAUGCAGCAACGCCGCGUGCGGGAUGACGGCCUUCGGGUUGUAAACCGCUUUCAGCAGGGACGAAGCUUUUUGUGACGGUACCUGCAGAAGAAGCAUCGGCUAACUACGUG